GCCUAAAGCGUCCGUAGCCGGCUAUGUUAGUUUUCGGUUAAAUCCAUGUGCUCAACACAUGGGCUGUCGAGAAUACUGCAUAGCUAGGGAGUGGGAGAGGUAGACGGUACUCUGUAGGAAGGGGUAAAAUCCUUUGAUCUAUAGAUGACCACCAGUGGCGAAGGCGGUCUACCAGAACACGUCCGACGGUGAGGGAUGAAAGCUGGGGGAGCAAACCGGAUUAGAUACCCGGGUAGUCCCAGCUGUAAACUAUGCAAACUCAGUGAUGCAUUGGCUUGUGGCCAGUGCAGUGCCGCAGAGAAGUCGUUAAGUUUGCCGCCUGGGAAGUACGUACGCAAGUAUGAAACUUAAAGGAAUUGGCGGGGGAGCACCACAAGGGGUGAAGCCUGCGGUUCAAUUGGAGUCAACGCCAGAAAUCUUACCCGGAGAGACAGCAGAAUGAAGGUCAAGCUGAAGACUUUACCAGACAAGCUGAGAAGUGGUGCAUGGCCGUCGCCAGCUCGUGCCGUGAGGUGUCCUGUUAAGUCAGGUAACGAGCGAGAUCCUUGCCUCUAGUUGCCACCAUUACUCUCAGGAGUAGUGGGGCGAAUUAGCGGGACUGCCGUAGUUAAUACGGAGGAAGGAGAGGGCCACGGCAGGUCAGUAUGCCCCGAA
RNAcentral lists this ribosomal RNA (654 nucleotides) under uncultured archaeon. RNAcentral's name for it is "bacterial SSU rRNA". It matches the Rfam family "Archaeal small subunit ribosomal RNA", at positions 508 to 1160 of the family's 1478-position model. The record is from RNAcentral.